Molecule: ribosomal RNA, 1402 nt
Filed under: uncultured bacterium
Lineage: Bacteria
Description: bacterial SSU rRNA
Rfam family: Bacterial small subunit ribosomal RNA
Source: RNAcentral
AGAGUUUGAUCCUGGCUCAGGAUGAACGCUAGCGGCAGGCUUAACACAUGCAAGUCGCGGGGCAGCGGGGGAGAAGCUUGCUUCUCCCGCCGGCGACCGGCGCACGGGUGAGUAACACGUAUGCAACCUGCCCUUGUCAGGGGGACAACCCAGCGAAAGUUGGGCUAAUCCCGCGUAUAUCCCAAGGGGGCAUCCCCUUGGGAGGAAAGCUUAGGCGGACAAGGAUGGGCAUGCGGCGCAUUAGGCAGUAGGCGGGGUAACGGCCCACCUAACCGACGAUGCGUAGGGGUUCUGAGAGGAAGGCCCCCCACACUGGUACUGAGACACGGACCAGACUCCUACGGGAGGCAGCAGUGAGGAAUAUUGGUCAAUGGCCGAGAGGCUGAACCAGCCAAGCCGCGUGAGGGAAGAAGGCCCUACGGGUCGUAAACCUCUUUUGUCAGGGAACAAAAACCGGUACGUGUACCGGGUUGAGUGUACCUGAAGAAAAAGCAUCGGCUAACUCCGUGCCAGCAGCCGCGGUGAUACGGAGGAUGCGAGCGUUAUCCGGAUUUAUUGGGUUUAAAGGGUGCGUAGGCGGACUUUUAAGUCAGCGGUGAAAGCCCGGGGCUCAACCCCGGCGAGCCGUUGAAACUGGAGGUCUUGAGUUGGAGAGAGGUAAGCGGAAUGCGCAGUGUAGCGGUGAAAUGCUUAGAUAUUGCGCAGAACUCCGAUUGCGAAGGCAGCUUACUGGCUCCACACUGACGCUGAGGCACGAAAGCGUGGGUAUCGAACAGGAUUAGAUACCCUGGUAGUCCACGCAGUAAACGAUGAAUGCUGGUUGUCCGGAGGGAUUGACCUCUGGGCGGCGAAGCGAAAGCGAUAAGCAUUCCACCUGGGGAGUACGCCGGCAACGGUGAAACUCAAAGGAAUUGACGGGGGCCCGCACAAGCGGAGGAACAUGUGGUUUAAUUCGAUGAUACGCGAGGAACCUUACCCGGGCUCAAACGGCACAGGCCAGUCGCAGAGACGCGAUCUUCCUACGGGACCUGUGCCGAGGUGCUGCAUGGCUGUCGUCAGCUCGUGCCGUGAGGUGUCGGCUUAAGUGCCAUAACGAGCGCAACCCCCAUCGGCAGUUGCCAGCAGGUAAAGCUGGGGACUCUGCCGAGACUGCCGGCGCAAGCUGCGAGGAAGGCGGGGAUGACGUCAAAUCAGCACGGCCCUUACGUCCGGGGCGACACACGUGUUACAAUGGCGGCCACAGCGGGAAGCCAGGCGGCGACGCUGAGCGGAACCCGAAAAGCCGUCUCAGUUCGGAUUGGAGUCUGCAACCCGACUCCAUGAAGCUGGAUUCGCUAGUAAUCGCGCAUCAGCCACGGCGCGGUGAAUACGUUCCCGGGCCUUGCACUCACCGCCCGUCAAG